This 468-nucleotide ribosomal RNA is filed under the name uncultured bacterium. Its description in RNAcentral is "partial 16S ribosomal RNA". It matches the Rfam family "Bacterial small subunit ribosomal RNA", at positions 28 to 507 of the family's 1533-position model. The record is from RNAcentral.
GAUGAACGCUGGCGGCGUGCUUAACACAUGCAAGUCGAACGGUGAAGGCGGAGCUUGCUCUGCUGGAUCAGUGGCGAACGGGUGAGUAACACGUGAGCAAUCUGCCCCUGACUCUGGGAUAAGCGCUGGAAACGGCGUCUAAUACUGGAUACGAGCUGCGAAGGCAUCUUCAGCAGCUGGAAAGAAUUUCGGUCAGGGAUGAGCUCGCGGCCUAUCAGCUUGUUGGUGAGGUAAUGGCUCACCAAGGCGUCGACGGGUAGCCGGCCUGAGAGGGUGACCGGCCACACUGGGACUGAGGCACGGCCCAGACUCCUACGGGAGGCAGCAGUGGGGAAUAUUGCACAGUGGGCGAAAGCCUGAUGCAGCAACGCCGCGUGAGGGACGACGGCCUUCGGGUUGUAAACCUCUUUUAGCAGGGAAGAAGCGAAAGUGACGGUACCUGCAGAAAAAGCGCCGGCUAACUACGUG